This 464-nucleotide ribosomal RNA is filed under the name uncultured bacterium. RNAcentral describes it as "partial 16S ribosomal RNA". It matches the Rfam family "Bacterial small subunit ribosomal RNA", at positions 338 to 795 of the family's 1533-position model. The record is from RNAcentral.
CCUACGGGCGGCAGCAGUAGGGAAUUUUCGUCAAUGGGCGCAAGCCUGAACGAGCAAUGCCGCGUGAACGAGGAAGGUCUUCGGAUCGUAAAGUUCUGUUGAAGGGGAAAAAGAGCGGAGAGAGGAAAUGGUCUCCGAUUGAUAUUACCCUUCGAGGAAGUCACGGCUAACUACGUGCCAGCAGCCGCGGUAAUACGUAGGUGGCGAGCGUUAUCCGGAAUGAUUGGGCGAAAAGGGUGCGUAGGCGGCCUGCAAAGUCUGGGGUGAAAGGUACCGGCUCAACCGGUACAGGCUCUGGAAACUGGCGGGCUAGAGAGCAGGAGAGGGCGGUGGAACUCCAUGUGUAGCGGUAAAAUGCGUAGAUAUAUGGAAGAACACCAGUGGCGAAGGCGGCCGCCUGGCCUGUUACUGACGCUGAGGCACGAAAGCGUGGGGAGCAAAUAGGAUUAGAUACCCUAGUAGUC